GAGCCCUCUUUGGCGGCUAGGCAUGAAGAAGCGAGCAAGGAAAAGGAAGGUUCUUUGCAAGAGUCAGAGGGAGCUGGAAGAGCCAGCGUUAGCUGACAUCCAAUCUCGGUCUUAUUCCACAUUUGCUCAAGGCUCUUGCAAUCCAUAAGGGAGCAAAGUGCCAAGAACCUGAGUAUGCCUGUGAUCGCAGAGGGUGAGAGUGAAGAAGACGACCAUACAAGUGAGGAGGAUUAUGUACCGACGAAGAAAAAGAAAAGGACUCAUUAAGAAUACAUUCAGAUUUAAAAGACCGUGUAGACAUUGGCUUAGUGUGGGUCAGAGGUGUCUCCAGCUAAAGAAAACAAGCCAAGUAGCUCAAAUCCACCUUAUAAACUGCUUUAGAUCUGUGUUCGAGUUAAGAAGCUAGAAAGACAAGGGUCGGAAUUAGAGAACUUACCAUGGAAGAAGAACAUUGUAUCGUUGAUGACCUGCAGAGGGAAUUUCGUCAUUCCAUCUUUUUUCUUGUAAUUUUCCAGAGCUUAUCCUUAAUGUUUGUUGUAUGUAAAUUAUAAUGGAUCACUUGUUGAAUUGUAAAACAUUCUUUCUGCAUUCUCCUGUCAUCUUGACUUCUGUUAAGUGUGUGCCUGCUUUUCUGUAACCAUGAUUUAGGUUUCUGGCUGAGAAGCCAGAGGUUAGGAGUUCGAUUCCCCACUGUGCCUUAACAGAGGGGCUGAACCUGAUAAUCACUAGGGACCGCGUCUGGCUCUUAAGGAGUGGCUUUACCAGUUCCACACCUUGCAUGGCUGAGCAGGAAGGGAUUCAAACCAUGGUCUUCAGUCCAGUCCAUCACUAUCCACUACACCACAUGGGGUUCCUAAAUCCCAAUUGUCUAUGUCAGAUCACCGCAAUCCAUCCAUCGAGGAACCGCCAACCCGCCGCCAUCCUUGGUGCAACCUCCAGGCAGCCAGGAAAAGGGUCCUUCUGGAGGCCUCCUCUCCCCUUGCGGCCCCUCACCUGGCAACAAAGAGACGCUUCCCCAUGCCCAUCCAUGGGGCGCUCUUGAUGAUGGGGUCCGGCUAGGGUUGCCAGAUACAUGGAUACCAAAAGGAGGACAUAGGAUGAAAAAGAGGACAGAGGACGUAUGAAAU
Pogona vitticeps (central bearded dragon) is the source of this 1127-nucleotide non-coding RNA. Lineage: Eukaryota; Metazoa; Chordata; Lepidosauria; Squamata; Agamidae. The record is from RefSeq and is a predicted model, not a curated record.